ACGCGUGAAAUCGNCCGCCUGGGGAGUACGGUCGCAAGAUUAAAACUCAAAGGAAUUGACGGGGACCCGCACAAGCGGUGGAUGAUGUGGAUUAAUUNGAUGCAACGCGAAGAACCUUACCUGGUCUUGACAUGUACGGAACCCUCCAGAGACGGAGGGGUGCCUUCGGGAGCCGUAACACAGGUGCUGCAUGGCUGUCGUCAGCUCGUGUCGUGAGAUGUUGGGUUAAGUCCCGCAACGAGCGCAACCCUUGUCAUUAGUUGCCAUCAUUAAGUUGGGCACUCUAAUGAGACUGCCGGUGACAAGCCGGAGGAAGGUGGGGAUGACGUCAAGUCCUCAUGGCCCUUAUGACCAGGGCUUCACACGUCAUACAAUGGUCGGUACAGAGGGUAGCCAAGCCGCGAGGUGGAGCCAAUCUCACAAAACCGAUNGUAGUCCGGAUUGCACUCUGCAACUCGAGUGCAUGAAGUCGGAAUCGCUAGUAAUCGCAGGUCAGCAUACUGCGGUGAAUACGUUCCCGGGUCUUGUACACACCGCCCGUCACACCAUGGGAGUGGGGGAUACCAGAAGUAGGUAGGGUAACCGCAAGGAGCCCGCUUACCNCGGUAU
This 609-nucleotide ribosomal RNA is filed under the name uncultured bacterium. Its description in RNAcentral is "bacterial SSU rRNA". It matches the Rfam family "Bacterial small subunit ribosomal RNA", at positions 855 to 1465 of the family's 1533-position model. The record is from RNAcentral.